Molecule: transfer RNA, 72 nt
Filed under: Cricetulus griseus (Chinese hamster)
Lineage: Eukaryota; Metazoa; Chordata; Mammalia; Rodentia; Cricetidae
Rfam family: tRNA
About the family: Transfer RNA (tRNA) molecules are approximately 80 nucleotides in length. Their secondary structure includes four short double-helical elements and three loops (D, anti-codon, and T loops).
Source: Rfam by way of RNAcentral
GGAGAGAUAGCUCAGAAGUUAAGAGCGCUGGCUGCUCUUCCAGAGGCCUGAGUUCAAUUCCCAGCAUCUACA